AGCAUAGACACUAAUGGAUUAAUAAAAAGGAAGGAGCUCUGAGAAGCUUCACGUGGUUUUACCAGGAUGGAAGCAGCCUUCCGGCCGCUAUUUGAAUCCAGCAUUGGGGAGAUAUAUUACAGCAGUAGUCCCUAGCAUGGAGGCGCAGCUACAAACAUCACACAAGGUAGCAGGGCGAGCCCCCACCUCCCCGACUCUCUCCCUGAUACUGCGGCUGGGAAUAGGAAACAGGAAGUCAAGUUUACAAGAAAAUGACCCCCAGCAGUUCAGCUUUUUCUUUUACAGUUCGAGUUGCAGCUCGGUGCCAGAUUCUGUUCACGAGCUCUAAUGAGCAGGACAGAGUGGAGCCUGUCAGUGCUGACAGAGGAGGUUUCUUCUGCCUCCUCCUCCCCCCUUGUUUUUCUGCUUUUACUUCGGCCUGGCAAAUGUCCUCUUGGAGAAUCAUUCAUUAAUUUCCAUUGUUCCCUGCUAGACUCUCCACCCCUCAGUCCCCCUUUCUGUUUUACUGCCAAAUUCCCCUUGGUGCCCUUUCUGCUUUCACUAUGUAACAGUCCAGUUUCACACAGAGAAAUGUAUCCAAAUCAGCAUUUCCUCUGUAUUAAUUGCUCACGUUCCGCCACCAAGACUCCCCCAAUCCAAAACAAGCCCCCAAAGGCGCCAGCAGGUAAUGAUGUCCCACCGGUGAGAAAGCGGCUGCUCGAAAAAAUCUAAAUGUGUAUGUGCGACCGAUGCAGAUCCAAAUUCCAGAGGUAGUAGGGAGAAGAAGUGCUUACAGUGACGGGGCAGCAGGCAGACGGCAUGAGAGCAAACCACAGCUUCGUGUAGAUCAUCUCAGACCGAUCUCAUCCCGAAAGUGGGCGUGACACAUUUUAUUGACCUGUGUUGAGUGAAAGGUGGCAUAAUGACAAAAGAAUUGAUGUGACUGGAUAAUUCCAGACCCAAAGACGGUGACUGGGGUUGUAUUCAAUCAAUACCAUAAUCUAAUUCUACAAAAUAUAACAUUUUAGCUCUGCAUUGAUUGAUUUAGCAGAAGCUUUGUCUCAUGAGGCCUACAAGUGAGGCAGAUAGCACUUUACAAGUACGCAGCUGCCAAGGAGCCAAACAGGUGUGAGUGCAGCUAGGCUGAGCUUCAAGUGAGCAACCGGUAACGAGUGCAAGUUAGCAAUCUAUUAAGGGAGCUAUUCAAAUCAAAAGGCAAGUGCAAAAAUACGAGAGUAUCCCAGAAAGAGACCGGCCGAGGGAAAACUGUUGAAGACAGAGCAGGUGUUUGGUUGGAUGAGCUAAUUAAGGGUAAAUUGUAACUAAGUCUCAUAAAAUGAAAGCACCAUGCUGUGUUUACUAAAGUAUAAAGGGUGUUGUAUCUUGAUAAGAUGUAUAAUGACAAGAUUUUCUAGCUGGAUAUGACAUGAUCAGUUUAUUCAGUGAAGUGACAAUUUUCAUAUUAUUACCUGGAAAGCACCUAUACACAAUUACUGGGAAAUAAAAUUCUCAUCUGGUUCA
This is a long non-coding RNA of Brienomyrus brachyistius, 1500 nucleotides long. RefSeq lists it as uncharacterized. The record is from RefSeq and is a predicted model, not a curated record. The transcript has 2 exons. Lineage: Eukaryota; Metazoa; Chordata; Actinopteri; Osteoglossiformes; Mormyridae.